Long non-coding RNA from Felis catus (domestic cat), 1917 nucleotides. RefSeq lists it as uncharacterized. Lineage: Eukaryota; Metazoa; Chordata; Mammalia; Carnivora; Felidae. The transcript is spliced from 3 exons. The record is from RefSeq and is a predicted model, not a curated record.
CAGCACAGAGCCCGACGUGGGGCCUGACCCCACGAACUGUGAGAUCGUGCCCUGAGCCGAAGCCGGACGCCCAACCUACCGAGCCACCCAGGCGUCCCAAGAGAUGCCCAUUUCUAACAAGUUUGUGAAGAACAAAAUGCUGGCCCCGGGGAGCCAAGGCAGAGUAAACAGUCCUGUCCAGAAGGCAUGGAAGGGCAUCUGGCCACGGCCUUGAGGACCCCGGGCACAAGUUCUGAGACACCCUGAGGCCUGCAGACAAGCCCUUCCUCCUGGAGCUGGAGGAAGAUGGCUCAGCUCUAGAGCCAGAAGAGUACUUGAGGGCCUGGCAGAGGACACAGUGCUCGGCGAUGAAGUAAACGCUUUAGAUCACCUGGGGACAUCGUGGCAGAAUGGGAGCCAGAACCAAGGAUCUGACUCCUCUUUGGACGUGAGUUGAGACUCUUACAAGUUCUGCCUCGAAGAGGGCUGGCUUCCCAUGGUAAGAUAAAAGAAUCCUCUCUUGGUUUGGAAUCAGCUUUCCCAGUUUUGCUCCACCCACUCCAUUCCGCAGGUCUCCCCUCCCACCCCCUCCUCCCUUUCACACAUCUCCAUAGUGACGGUUUUCAUCUCUCAUUAGGGAUGCCCCUGGUACAGUGUGAGAUGAGGCACAGCUCGCUUCAGGGUUGAGCUGGUGUUUUUCCGGAGACGAACUGUCAUCUGUGUGUGUAUCCACCUCUGGCAGGGACACACCCUGGUGUAAUCUAACCUCCCUGCUCUGGUUGUAUAUCUGGAGAGUCUGCUAUUGCCUUAGAGUCUGUGAGUCCUUGAGGGCAAGGGACAAGGACUCAUUACUCUAAAUCUCCAGGCAGCUAAUAAGGUGUUACCCGCUGUGGACAUUUGCUAGAUGGUUGGCAUUUACUUCUCUUCUUCUCAAGGUUCCAUCAUCCAGGGAGAUAGUUUCACCUGUCGUUUCCCUUCCAAGCUCAGCCUCGGGAGAUAAGGCUUCAGAAGGGAAGUGUGUCUUCCCACAUACGGCUCUGUUUUAAACUUAAUGUGUUUAUUUGAGUACCUAGAUACCAUGGUGAUCGGUGCUGUAGGAAGAGAGAGAAAGAGCAGGGAGGCGGAACAGAGAGAGGGAGCAGCCCAAACACCAGGGGGCUGGAAGCAAUGUUUUGUGACACCGCUGUUUAUUUUGAGCCGGCGUUAUUUAUCACGUCCUCCGUGCACACAUCUCUCCCCUGGGAGCGUACACGCUGCUUCUUUCUUGGGCACUUAUGUUCUCUGGGCCUCGAGAGGAGGAGACACGUUGCCUUUGGCAUGUAAAGGUACACAUCACUGUCACCGCUUCUGAUGUUUGUAUGUCAUUGGACCCUGUUCGGUGCACGUUCAUGCACCCUACUUCCCUCCUGUAAGCCUGUGUCAGGCCAGAUUGGAUUCACCCUAUUUUUUGAUGAAUUUGAGAUUCAGAGACUAACUUGUCCAAAGGCACUCGACAAGUGAGUGCUCAGAGCUAAAGGCCACCUGUUUCCUAGAGCAAAGCCCCUUAUGCUACGAUCGGGCUGUGCAGCGGUGAGAAUUCAUGGCAGGCGGGACAGACCUGGUGCAUUUGGGGCAGGGUCCAGGCUGGAGUGAGCUGCCUGGAGUGUGGUCCAAGUCACAGAGAAACAGCUAGAGCUUCUGCAUGGAGCCCACAAAAAAAUGGGGCAUUGGCUGCAGAAGGAAUUUUGCGGAUUUUAUGUCUUGAGACAAAAGAAAGUGUAAAGUGUAAAUGCACCCUGUGUCCAGACUGACAGCCUUUGCAAAGAGCUCCCUGCAGCACAAGUGAACUUUGGUGUUUCCGCUUAUCUGCCUGGACUAACCCAAACCUGGUCCCGAGACUGGUGCAUGGCUGCUGGCAUCCUUCCUCAAGGCAGACUAAGAUGAAUGAGACCCAAGAUA